This 342-nucleotide long non-coding RNA is filed under the name Mustela putorius furo (domestic ferret). RNAcentral's name for it is "lncRNA (ENSMPUG00000028536.1)". Lineage: Eukaryota; Metazoa; Chordata; Mammalia; Carnivora; Mustelidae. The record is from RNAcentral.
CCAGUUGUUCUUACCUGUUGUGAGGCUUGUAUUCGCUAGGUUCUUCUCAGGAACUUCCCAAACCAAACCAUGUUGACAAACUUUGCUCCUGCCUCUGCGGCCUCCUAACCUUAUCUUCUCACAGAAUUAUCCUAAGGAAGGCAUUCUCUGAGAAGCUCAAACUGUCUCAAACUGCUGUGACCUCGCACGCUAAUACCCCCAUUGGUACAACUCACCAUUUUAUUAAAAGCAAUACAAUUCUUGCAUUCAUUUGAUCUGAUCUGGAUUUUUACUUUUGCUUUGUCCAUACCAGCAGAGGUAAAACAUCCAGAGGAAAGAAAGAGAGAAGAUACCACACCCUGG